UACGGAGGGAGCUAGCGUUGUUCGGAAAUACUGGGCGUAAAGCGCACGUAGGCGGCGCAGCAAGUCAGGGGCGAAAUCCCGGGGCUCAACCCCGGAACUGCCCUUGAAACUGCAGUGCUAGAAUUCUGGAGAGGCGAGUGGAAUUCCGAGUGUAGAGGUGAAAUUCGUAGAUAUUCGGAAGAACACCAGUGGCGAAGGCGACUCGCUGGACAGACAUUGACGCUGAGGUGCGAAAGCGUGGGGAGCAAACAGG
Molecule: ribosomal RNA, 253 nt
Filed under: uncultured bacterium
Lineage: Bacteria
Description: partial 16S ribosomal RNA
Rfam family: Bacterial small subunit ribosomal RNA
Source: RNAcentral